ACUUGAAAUGCUGCCUUAUUUUCAUGUCACAGAAGAUUUGUGUACUUGUUUCAUUGUAUUAGCUAUUUCAAAGACUCUUCUUUUACACACUAGGCUGGAUCCUCCUGAAGAUGAAUUAGCCGCCAAUUCGUUUAGAUGCGCUCUCCCAUAUUAUGUACAUGUGUACAGGGAGGUGUAUAUUGGGCAUCAAUCAUACUGAUGUUUCCUUUGGGGCAGUGGCAUUUGAGUACUAUUAAAGAAUUCUUUAUUCUUUGAGCUUAUUGUUUAAUAAUAUCAAAGCCCUUGUAAGGUGUACCAUAACGCUUUGUGGCUAGAAAUAGUUUAUUCAUCUGUCAUCAAUAUGCUCAAGGGUAGGAAGUCCCGAUCAGAUGUUAAAGGUAGACAGUAUGAAAUACGAAGCCUGUUUUUUAUCUCCCUGUGCUUAGAAAACAUAAAUUCACUUUCAAGUGGGUCAUCCAGUUAUGAAUGUUUUAAAACGUCGUACAGGUGUAAGUCCAUUCUGUGAGUAGAAGGUGGAGGCCUUCUUUAAGAUUCAGGUCUCUGUAUGUCUUAAUGGAUGACGGAUUCUCAAGAAUACUAUGUGCUUGAUACAACAUUUUUAUCUAUAACUGAACUCAUUGCAUGGUGCAGAUCCUAUAUUUGGAAGGAAUGAAGAGAAAGAGGUUGGGCAUGUCUGGAACAAAGCAGUGGAUUCUGCACUGGGCACUGUGAUUGCAGCUUUUAACUCCCGCUGGUGGUGCCACCUCUCAUUGGUUUCAACAUUGAAGUGCUGUUUCUCUGUCGCCAUAGCACUUCACUAUUAUACUCUGAUUGUAUUUCUUCCUCUCUUACCAAGACCAUGCAUCUCGUUCUUAACCGUGCUAUAAUUAGGCCUACCUUUUUUUUCUUCUCUCCUUGAAUGGAUUGGCUAAAUGACUAUAUAUUAUUCGAAUAACGAUUAUUAAUACAUACAGGCCUAGAAAUUAUGUACCUUUUCUU
Molecule: long non-coding RNA, 978 nt
Organism: Papaver somniferum (opium poppy)
Lineage: Eukaryota; Viridiplantae; Streptophyta; Magnoliopsida; Ranunculales; Papaveraceae
Exons: 2
Source: RefSeq, a predicted model, not a curated record